RNAcentral lists this ribosomal RNA (701 nucleotides) under Bacillus sp. ER3. RNAcentral's name for it is "bacterial SSU rRNA". It matches the Rfam family "Bacterial small subunit ribosomal RNA", at positions 238 to 878 of the family's 1533-position model. The record is from RNAcentral. Lineage: Bacteria; Bacillati; Bacillota; Bacilli; Caryophanales; Bacillaceae.
GCUUAACUAGUUGGUGGGGUAAUGGCUCACCAAGGCGACAAUGCGUAGCCAACCUGAAGAAGGGUGAUCGGCCACACUGGAGACUGAGAACACGGCCCAGAACUCCUACGGGAGGCAGCAGUAGGGAAUCUUCCGCAAUGGACGAAAGUCUGACGGAGCAACGCCGCGUGAGUAGAUGAAGGUUUUCGGAUCGUAAAGCUCUGUUAGUCAAGGGAAGAACAAGUGCUAGAGUAACUUAGCGUCGCUCCUUGACGGUCCUAACCAGAAAGCCCNCGGGUAACUACGUGCCAGCAGCCGCGGGUAAUAACGUAGGUGGCAAGCGGUUGUCCGGAAUUAUUGGGGCGUAAAGGGCGUCGCAAGGCGGGUUAUCUUAAGUCUGAUGUGAAAGCCCCCGGGUCAACCGGGGAGGGUCCAUUGGGAACCUUGGGGAAACUUGAGUUGCAAAAGGAAUUGGGAAUUCCCACGUNUAACCGGGUAAAAUUGCGCUAAAANUUAUUGGCAGGACANCCAGUUGGCGAAAGGGAACUCUCNGGUCUGUAACCUGAACNCGCUUAAGGAGCGAAAGCCGUGGGGACGCGACCGGAUUUNAUNACCCUGGGUAGUUCCACGGCCGUUAACCAAUAAGUGGCUAAGUGUAAGGGGGUUACCGCCCCCUUANUUGCUUGCAGGUUUAACGCAUUUAAGGCACAUCCCGCCUGGGG